This 481-nucleotide ribosomal RNA is filed under the name uncultured bacterium. RNAcentral's name for it is "partial 16S ribosomal RNA". It matches the Rfam family "Bacterial small subunit ribosomal RNA", at positions 28 to 507 of the family's 1533-position model. The record is from RNAcentral.
GAUGAACGCUGGCGGCGUGCUUAGCACAUGCAAGUCGAACGAAGCAUUUAAGACAGAUUACUUCGGUUUGAGGUCUUUUAUGACUGAGUGGCGGACGGGUGAGUAACGCGUGGGUAACCUGCCUCAUACAGGGGGAUAGCAGCUGGAAACGGCUGGUAAUACCGCAUAAGCGCACAGUACCACAUGGUACAGUGUGAAAAACUCCGGUGGUAUGAGAUGGACCCGCGUCUGAUUAGCUUGUUGGCGGGGUAACGGCCCACCAAGGCGACGAUCAGUAGCCGAACUGAGAGGGUGACCGGCCACAGUGGGACUGAGACACGGCCCAGACUCCUACGGGAGGCAGCAGUGGGGAAUAUUGCACAAUGGAGGAAACUCUGAUGCAGCGACGCCGCGUGAGUGAAGAAGUAGUUCGCUAUGUAAAGCUCUAUCAGCAGGGAAGAUAGUGACGGUACCUGACUAAGAAGCGCCGGCUAAAUACGUG